UGCAGAAUCCCGCGAAUCAUCGAGUCUUUGAACGCAAGUUGCGCCCGAAGCCAUUCGGCCGAGGGCACGUCUGCCUGGGUGUCA
This 84-nucleotide ribosomal RNA is filed under the name Juglans regia (Persian walnut). RNAcentral's name for it is "5.8S ribosomal RNA". It matches the Rfam family "5.8S ribosomal RNA", at positions 73 to 154 of the family's 154-position model. From Rfam's summary of the family: 5.8S ribosomal RNA (5.8S rRNA) is a component of the large subunit of the eukaryotic ribosome. It is transcribed by RNA polymerase I as part of the 45S precursor that also contains 18S and 28S rRNA. Functionally, it is thought that 5.8S rRNA may be involved in ribosome translocation. The record is from Rfam by way of RNAcentral. Lineage: Eukaryota; Viridiplantae; Streptophyta; Magnoliopsida; Fagales; Juglandaceae.